AAGCAACGCGAAGAACCUUACCACGGUCUUGACAUCCCUGACAACCGAGAGAUCGGGCGUCCCCGUUCGGGGGACGAGGGUGACAGGUGGUGCAUGGUUGUCGUCAGCUCGUGUCGUGAGAUGUUGGGUUAAGUCCCGCAACGAGCGCAACCCCUAUUGUUAGUUGCCAUCAUUCAGUUGGGCACUCUAGCGAGACUGCAGGUAAUAAACCGGAGGAAGUGGGGAUGACGUCAAAUCAUCAUGCCCCUUAUGACCUGGGCUACACACGUGCUACAAUGGUUGGUACAACGAGUUGCGAGUCGGUGACGGCGAGCUAAUCUCUUAAAGCCAAUCUCAGUUCGGAUUGUAGGCUGCAACUCGCCUACAUGAAGUCGGAAUCGCUAGUAAUCGCGGAUCAGCACGCCGCGGUGAAUACGUUCCCGGGCCUU
Molecule: ribosomal RNA, 428 nt
Filed under: uncultured Streptococcus sp.
Lineage: Bacteria; Bacillati; Bacillota; Bacilli; Lactobacillales; Streptococcaceae
Description: bacterial SSU rRNA
Rfam family: Bacterial small subunit ribosomal RNA
Source: RNAcentral